Molecule: transfer RNA, 74 nt
Filed under: Candidatus Nomurabacteria bacterium
Lineage: Bacteria; Candidatus Nomuraibacteriota
Description: tRNA-Asp
Rfam family: tRNA
About the family: Transfer RNA (tRNA) molecules are approximately 80 nucleotides in length. Their secondary structure includes four short double-helical elements and three loops (D, anti-codon, and T loops).
Source: RNAcentral
GCGACCGUAGCUCAGCUGGUUAGAGCGCCCGCCUGUCACGUGGGAGGUCGCCGGUUCAAGUCCGGUCGGUCGCG